CCGCAAGGUUAAAACUCAAAUGAAUUGACGGGGGCCCGCACAAGCGGUGGAGCAUGUGGUUUAAUUCGAUGCAACGCGAAGAACCUUACCUGGUCUUGACAUCCACAGAAGAAUCCAGAGAUGGAUUGGUGCCUUCGGGAACUGUGAGACAGGUGCUGCAUGGCUGUCGUCAGCUCGUGUUGUGAAAUGUUGGGUUAAGUCCCGCAACGAGCGCAACCCUUAUCCUUUGUUGCCAGCGAUUAGGUCGGGAACUCA
RNAcentral lists this ribosomal RNA (255 nucleotides) under Salmonella enterica subsp. enterica serovar Typhimurium. RNAcentral's name for it is "partial 16S ribosomal RNA". It matches the Rfam family "Bacterial small subunit ribosomal RNA", at positions 886 to 1141 of the family's 1533-position model. The record is from RNAcentral. Lineage: Bacteria; Pseudomonadati; Pseudomonadota; Gammaproteobacteria; Enterobacterales; Enterobacteriaceae.